This is a long non-coding RNA of Felis catus (domestic cat), 619 nucleotides long. RefSeq lists it as uncharacterized. Lineage: Eukaryota; Metazoa; Chordata; Mammalia; Carnivora; Felidae. The record is from RefSeq and is a predicted model, not a curated record. The transcript has 2 exons.
UCCCAGGAGCAUCUGCUCCUGUUUCUCGGGAGGGAGUUAGUUCCUGUGGAAAGUGUUUGUUUAGUUUGAUUACAACUUUGAAGAGGGGUAAGAAUUCUGGCCCAGAAGAAUUUAAUGGCCGGGCACUUCUCUUACAUAAUUUGUAAACAAACAGAGUUUAUCCCAGUGUGGCUCAUUUGGCUCAAUGGCUGGAUUUAGGAAAAUAUAUUCCUCAUUCAUCUGGGAGAAGCCACAGUAAGGCCUGUCAAUAACCAGAAAAAUGUCCAAACCAGCCAGUGACUCUGUUGCCUAAUCCUGACGGACCUUGAAAUCUCUCUUCUGAAACCCAGGACUGUCAACAGAUAGAGUCCCAACUUCAGUUAUGGGUUAUGGGCAGAACCUGAAAAGCAGCUGAUGAAUCGCUCCCCAGAAGUUUCUACACACUCGUGACUGCUCUCGGGGGGUAGGAAAGCACAGCCCCUGACUGAGCCCCCAGGCUGCUGUGAUUACAAACCAUGCUGCUGGAGAACUCGAGGCCAGGGAGGUCAUGUCAUCAAAAAUCUGGCCCUACACAUGGACAUCAUCUACCACGCGUGGCUGUAAGAUCCCCUGGUCUCUAUAAUAAAAGGCAAACACCUUU